This is a long non-coding RNA of Tachysurus fulvidraco (yellow catfish), 542 nucleotides long. RefSeq lists it as uncharacterized. NCBI's taxonomy places the organism in Eukaryota, Metazoa, Chordata, Actinopteri, Siluriformes, Bagridae. The record is from RefSeq and is a predicted model, not a curated record. The transcript has 3 exons.
GCUGACACCGGAACUCGUCGCAUUACUUUCAGUAGGCUGUUGCGUUUUCACGUGUGCGGGCCGUAAAAAACUACGCGUGGGAUUUUUUUUAGUUCUUAAUUAAAGAAAUGAUUAGGCUUUUGUACACAAAAUGCGUUUCUGAGUCGGUAUUUGAAAAUGUGAACCUCGUUCCCGAUAAUAUUCCUGAAACGACGUGAUGCACGUGCGGACACGUGGUUGAUUUGGGAGGAAAUGUGAGAUUUGCUGCUGAAAUCUGCAUGGCGCAUGCGCAGUGCAUGAUUUGUCUUCCAUGAGAUGGGUACAGGAAAGAGAAAAGAGGUGGGACCCCUGAAAGGAAGCCAGUGGCGGGGACCCCUGAAAGGAUUGACUUAACCAUAAGACCAAAGUCAGUCAGAUUUUGUACAACAGUUUUAUAAGCAAAAUGUGUCUUUUGUAUUCUCUCUUGUUGUCUUUGUAGGGUUGAAUGACCUUGUACACAAAGGAUGUCUUGUGGAAGAAGAAUUUGAUGCUUGUAGAAUAAACUUUUACACUUCACGACCAUA